RNAcentral lists this ribosomal RNA (1178 nucleotides) under Salmonella enterica. RNAcentral's name for it is "bacterial LSU rRNA". It matches the Rfam family "Bacterial large subunit ribosomal RNA", at positions 1 to 1211 of the family's 2925-position model. The record is from RNAcentral. Lineage: Bacteria; Pseudomonadati; Pseudomonadota; Gammaproteobacteria; Enterobacterales; Enterobacteriaceae.
GGGUUGUGAGGUUAAGCGACUAAGCGUACACGGUGGAUGCCCUGGCAGUCAGAGGCGAUGAAGGGCGUGCUAAUCUGCGAUAAGCGCCGGUAAGGUGAUAUGAACCGUUAUAACCGGCGAUACCCGAAUGGGGAAACCCAGUGUGACUCGUCACACUAUCAUUAACUGAAUCCAUAGGUUAAUGAGGCGAACCGGGGGAACUGAAACAUCUAAGUACCCCGAGGAAAAGAAAUCAACCGAGAUUCCCCCAGUAGCGGCGAGCGAACGGGGAGGAGCCCAGAGCCUGAAUCAGCAUGUGUGUUAGUGGAAGCGUCUGGAAAGGCGCGCGAUACAGGGUGACAGCCCCGUACACAAAAGCGCAUGUGCUGUGAGCUCGAUGAGUAGGGCGGGACACGUGAUAUCCUGUCUGAAUAUGGGGGGACCAUCCUCCAAGGCUAAAUACUCCUGACUGACCGAUAGUGAACCAGUACCGUGAGGGAAAGGCGAAAAGAACCCCGGCGAGGGGAGUGAAAAAGAACCUGAAACCGUGUACGUACAAGCAGUGGGAGCACCCUUUUGGGUGUGACUGCGUACCUUUUGUAUAAUGGGUCAGCGACUUAUAUUCUGUAGCAAGGUUAACCGUAUAGGGGAGCCGAAGGGAAACCGAGUCUUAACCGGGCGUUAAGUUGCAGGGUAUAGACCCGAAACCCGGUGAUCUAGCCAUGGGCAGGUUGAAGGUUGGGUAACACUAACUGGAGGACCGAACCGACUAAUGUUGAAAAAUUAGCGGAUGACCUGUGGCUGGGGGUGAAAGGCCAAUCAAACCGGGAGAUAGCUGGUUCUCCCCGAAAGCUAUUUAGGUAGCGCCUCGUGAAUUCAUCUCCGGGGGUAGAGCACUGUUUCGGCUAGGGGGCCAUCCCGGCUUACCAACCCGAUGCAAACUGCGAAUACCGGAGAAUGUUAUCACGGGAGACACACGGCGGGUGCUAACGUCCGUCGUGAAGAGGGAAACAACCCAGACCGCCAGCUAAGGUCCCAAAGUCAUGGUUAAGUGGGAAACGAUGUGGGAAGGCCCAGACAGCCAGGAUGUUGGCUUAGAAGCAGCCAUCAUUUAAAGAAAGCGUAAUAGCUCACUGGUCGAGUCGGCCUGCGCGGAAGAUGUAACGGGGCUAAACCAUGCACCGAAGCUGCGGCAGCGA